This 429-nucleotide ribosomal RNA is filed under the name uncultured bacterium. Its description in RNAcentral is "bacterial SSU rRNA". It matches the Rfam family "Bacterial small subunit ribosomal RNA", at positions 355 to 776 of the family's 1533-position model. The record is from RNAcentral.
UGGGGAAUAUUGGACAAUGGGGGCAACCCUGAUCCAGCAAUGCCGCGUGUGUGAAGAAGGCCUUCGGGUUGUAAAGCACUUUAGGUUGGGAGGAAGACGUGGAGUUUAAGAGAUACUACGUUUGACUGUACCGACAGAAUAAGCACCGGCUAACUCUGUGCCAGCAGCCGCGGUAAUACAGAGGGUGCGAGCGUUAAUCGGAAUUACUGGGCGUAAAGGGUGCGUAGGUGGUUUUGUAAGUUAGAUGUGAAAUCCCUGGGCUUAACCUAGGAAGGUCAUCUAAGACUGCGGGACUGGAGUAUGGUAGAGGGUAGUGGAAUUUCCGGUGUAGCGGUGAAAUGCGUAGAUAUCGGAAGGAACACCAGUGGCGAAGGCGGCUACCUGGACUAAUACUGACACUGAGGCACGAAAGCGUGGGGAGCAAACAGG